Lycium barbarum (goji berry) is the source of this 1149-nucleotide long non-coding RNA. RefSeq lists it as uncharacterized. The record is from RefSeq and is a predicted model, not a curated record. Lineage: Eukaryota; Viridiplantae; Streptophyta; Magnoliopsida; Solanales; Solanaceae. The transcript is spliced from 2 exons.
UUAAGGUCCAUUUUUCAUUGUUAACAAGUUUAUUUAGAGUUUUAACGGAUUAGAACGGAGAAAAUAGCAUUAUAAACUCGUUUGUUGUUUUGUUGGGAUUUAUGGAUUAAGGGGCUGUUUUAGGUGGAUUAAAUUGAUGGAAUUAGCUGAGUUAUGAUGUAUAAUAAUUGUUGACAUUGUUGUUGAAGUUGUUGAUAAGUUGUUGUUCUUGAAUUUGGGAGAAUAAAGUGUAUAAAGAUAUUGUAUACAAAGCGUAUACCGGGCUGUUUUGUGCCGAUAUUUGGGGCUGUUUUAUGUAAUUUUCGUGGCUAUUUAUUGACAAUAUUUUGGGGCUGUUUUAUGUAAUUUUCGUGGCUGUUUUAUGACAAAAUUUUGGAGCUGCUUUAUGUAUUUUUCGUGGUUAUUUUGUGACUAUAUUUUGGAGCUGUUUGGUAUAACAUUUGUGGCUGUUUUGCGAUGAUAUUUUGGGGACUGUUUUAUGGUCGUUAUGGGCUGGAAUAUCGGGGGAUUGGCUGUAGUUGUUGUUGUUAUAUUAUGAAUAUACGGAAAUAAAGAAGUGUAUACAAGCAUUGACAUCCGAAUGUAUAUUGGGCUGUUUUGGGAGUAAUUUAAGAAUGGAUUUAAGUCUAGUUUGAUAUGAAAUUGUUGGUGUUGUUGUUGGUGGUAUUUUGAUUGACGUUUGGCUAAGUUGGAAUUUUGAGGAUUGUUAAGUUUACAGGGGAAAUGCUGCCCAAUUUUCUCUAGAAUUUACGACGCGUUCUUAUAAUCUAUUAACUAAUGUUAAUAUGAAUUCUCCCGUGAAGGUAACAACGUGACAUUGGGGAGAGCAAGUGAACGAUAACAUAGCUAAACGACAAAGGUAGACAGGGAGGUGAGCUUGGUCCAGACCCUUAGUAGCUGUCAGCUGAUUGAGAGCACUCCAUUGUCCGGAGGUGCUUAUGAUUCUUCUUUUGGUAUAUAUGCAUAUUUUGGGCACGACGGAGUCUUGUUCCGUCUAUAUGUUUAGUAUGUCAGUAGAGGCUCGUAGAUACGCAGUGUGGGUCAGAUGGUCUCACAAGAUGUUAUUAUUAUGUAUAUAUUAUUUUGAUGGCCGAGAGGAAAAUGUAUAUAAGUAUUUAUGUUUCUAUAUAAAAUAUGAUUUUCCUACAA